AGAAAAUAAUUCCCCGAAUUAAAUUUAAACAUAGAGCGUUUCAUACGAAGCGCCGUUAACCUCUAACAACGACAUACAUAUGCAAGAGAAAAAACACAGACAGUGUCAAAUGUUAAUAGAGCUUUGGUUUGGUCUCAAACCUCAACGGCUAUAAUAACGCUUCCUCUUCCAUUCCUAUUUCUCCAAAAAUCUUACACAAAUUAAUCACUUUUCUCGGAAGAGAAAAAAUCUCCCCCUCACAGAUUAUAGAUUCAUCACUUCUUUCUCGGAAUCGCUUCCAUUCUUAAGCUUUUCUAUCUCCUUCAUUCCCCUUUGGUUCUUUCCUUUCGGUUAGAAUCCCCUCUCGCUCGCUUUCAUUUCCUUCUUUCAUCCUUUCGAGAGCACCAACAUUUUUACACCAUACUUUUUCACAAUUCCUUUCUCGUUAUUAUCGCUUUUCAUUUUCACUUUCACUUUUGAUUAGGGUUUCGACUUUGAAAUAUUACUCGUUAAAUGUAGUAUUUCAUCCUGAAACUGUAUUGUUUUUUUUCUAGUAAGGGAAAAAAAGUAGUUUUUUUUAUUGUUGUUAAAAAAAAUUAAAAUUAGGGUUUCGACAUUGAAAUAUGUCGGUUGUUUUGAGUUCAAUUUCGAAAGAGAGGGUGUAUUGGGAGGGUCAACCAGAACAUUGUUCUGUUGAUCCAAUCCUGAUUUACCUUACUGUUGACAGUGUUGUUACCCCAAUGCGGGUUUUGGAGUCGGAUUCAAUUGCCUCGGUGAAAUUGAGGAUUCAGCAGUGUAAAGGUUUUGUGGUGAAGAAACAGAAGCUUGUUUUUGGUGGCAGAGAGCUUGCUCGGAACGAUACGCUUAUUAAGGAGUAUGGUGUUGCUGAAGGCAAUGUUCUUCAUUUGGUUUUACGCCUUUCGGAUCUUCUUUUCAUUGUUGUUAGGACAGUUUCUGGCAAGGAGUUUGAGUUUCAUGUUGAUAGGCAUAGGAAUGUGGGGUAUCUUAAACAAAGGAUUAGGAAAAAAGGGGAAGGUUUUAUUGAUCUUGAGGAACAAGAGCUUUUCUGUAAUGAAGAGAAGCUUGAUGAUCAGAUACUAUUUCAUGAUAUAUGUAAAGGGGGUGACGGUGUAGUUCAUUUGAUUAUUAAGAAAUCGGUUAAGGUUAGGGCUACGCCUAUUCUUAAUGAUUUGAAUCUUUCUCUUGAGGCUUUGAUACCGCGUGAGAGAAGUGAUCAAAGAGAGUUACAGUUACAAGUAGAAGAGAAUAAGAAUAGGAGCAAACCGAUUCAGAUAGCAAAGUUACCGCCCGGUGUUGGUUUCUGGUUGGAACCUAUUGCUGUGAAUCCCAAGAUCAGUUUUUUGCCUCUCCUUUGGGACAUGAUUAACUCCACAUACGAGGGUUUGAAGAAAGGAAAUCGUCCUAUUAGGUCCUCGGAAGGAACAGGAGGGACUUAUUUUAUGCAAAAUUCCACUGGCCAGGAGCGUGUUUCAGUUUUCAAGCCCUUGGAUGAGGAACCAAUGGCUGCGAACAACCCAAGAGGCUUACCAUGUUCAUUGAACGGCGAAGGUUUAAAAAGAGGAACAAGGGUGGGAGAAGGAGCUUUAAGGGAGGUUGCAGCUUAUGUGUUGGAUCAUCCAAGGAGCGGACCACGUUUGGUGUCUGGUGAAGAAAUCGGGUUUUCCGGUGUUCCUCCUACUGUUAUGGUGCAGUGCUUACACCAAGAAUUUCACCACCCAAAUGGGUACGCAUGCUCAUCAAAACACAUCAAGAUUGGAUCGUUACAGAAAUUUAUGAGUAAUGACGGAAACUGUGAGGACAUUGGACCCGGGGCCUUUCCCGUGGAGGAAGUGCAUAAGAUAUCUGUGCUUGAUAUAAGAAUGGCUAAUGCAGACAGACAUGCUGGGAAUAUUUUGUUCAGAAAGGAGGCAUCUGGCCAGAUUAAGCUCAUUCCCAUUGAUCAUGGCUAUUGUCUACCAGAUAAAUUUGAAGACUGCACAUUUGAUUGGCUUUACUGGCCGCAAGCACUCCAGCCUUACUCACCUGAGACAGUUGAGUAUAUCAAUUCUUUGGAUGCCGAAAAAGACAUUGAAAUUUUGAAAUAUUAUGGAUGGGAUAUUCCAAUUGAGUGCGCGCGAACACUUCGCAUUUCCACAAUGCUGCUCAAGAAAGGGGUUGAGAGAGGUUUUACUCCCUAUGCAAUUGGAAGCAUCAUGUGUCGGGAAAAUUUGAACAAGGAAUCUGUAAUUGAGGAAAUUAUAAGCGAAGCACAAGAUUCCUUGCUUCCUGGCACGGAGGAAUCAGCACUUCUUGAAUCCGUCUCGCAAAUCAUGGAUUCCCGUCUCGAUAAGCUUGCACAAUAGACAUUUUUCCUUUUCUGAUUUAUAUAUUGGUAUGGUAAUAUUUUUAUAUGUAAUGUAAUUCAGUGAAUGAUUCUAGUCCAUUUUUGGAUGGACUGCAUGCAAACUGCAGGUUUCACCAACAAAAUGUCAUAUGGCUUGAUGUGAUCUGGACAUAAGGCCUGAAGCUCUGUUUAUUUCUGGCUUCUCUGAACUGUUUUCAGGAUUGUAUUGUCAUGUUCAACAGAAAUUAAAAGCCAAAAUUUGGAAAAAGAUAGUAAUAGCAGCAAUGUGGUAAGAAUAUGAUUCAUGAUAGCAGGGAUAGUGCACUAGAGAGAAGCCAAUGCCAGUGCUUGGUUGUUAGUUGUUACAAUCAUUGGAAUCUUAUUAGAGAUUUGAAUCACCAAAUCAAAUCAGUUGCAUUGGAUGAUAUUUGCCACCCCACAUAAUCAGUUGCAUCUGGAUGUACCCAAAAUCACAUAAAUUCUGGUAUUUCAGUCAGCAAUUUUAUUUUUUCAAAAUCUC
Molecule: RNA transcript, 2843 nt
Organism: Lathyrus oleraceus (garden pea)
Lineage: Eukaryota; Viridiplantae; Streptophyta; Magnoliopsida; Fabales; Fabaceae
Gene name: phosphatidylinositol 4-kinase gamma 4
Exons: 3
Source: RefSeq, a predicted model, not a curated record